RNAcentral lists this long non-coding RNA (737 nucleotides) under Rattus norvegicus (Norway rat). RNAcentral's name for it is "long non-coding RNA NONRATT002377". Lineage: Eukaryota; Metazoa; Chordata; Mammalia; Rodentia; Muridae. The record is from RNAcentral.
UGGCAUGCAGCCCCCAGUCCCCCCCUCCAGCUUUCCUUGAGAGGGAGCGCAGCUCCUCCCACUUGCCUCUUCACCAGCUAAGCCAUCCCCUCAGUCCCUAGUAUUAGAGUUUUAAAAAAGUUGUUUUCACCAAUUCUGUUUUUUCCAAAUAACUUUUUUUUUUUACAUUAUAGACAUGGAGAUUUCCAAAAUGACAGGAUCGUGUUUUUAAAAAAAAUUGUUAGUACUUUAGCACGCAAAUGGAACAGUGGUUCUUUUAGCGUGGUUCUGAGUACGGUUCUGUCAGGUUUUCUGGGUAAGUUUUUGUUAAAUGGCAGCUGUGUGCCUUGGGACUGACUGUUCCCUGCAACCAUUUAGAAACUCACCAUGGGGCUGGAGAGAUGGCUCAGCGGUUAAAGGCACUGGCUGCUCUUCCAGAGGUCCUGAGUUCAAAUCCCAGCAACCAGAUGGUGGCUCACAACCAUCUGUAAUGGGAUCUGAUGCCCUCUUCUGGUGUGUCUGAAGACAGUGACAGUGUACUUGGAUUAAAUAAAUAAAUAGAUAAAUCUUAAAAAAUAAACAAACAAACAAAAAUCAAAACAAAACUUUAGAAACAUGAACCAGCAGAGAGAAUUUUCUCUCCUGGGGAUGUUGCCAAGGCUUAAACUCCACCCAGAAUCAAGCCCUGCCCAUCUAGCAAAAUUUCUGCAGACACACCCCAGAAAUCGGCAUUCUAAGGAGAACCGGGUGACUCCCAC